This 657-nucleotide long non-coding RNA is filed under the name Daucus carota (carrot). RNAcentral describes it as "long non-coding RNA (DCAR_LNC000694)". The record is from RNAcentral. Lineage: Eukaryota; Viridiplantae; Streptophyta; Magnoliopsida; Apiales; Apiaceae.
GCAAGUUUCAGGAGCCAAUUUGCCUAUAAAACGGAAGAGAUAAAUUACUUAAACGCACAAAUAAAUUCCAACUCCAAGAGCUUAUCAUUUGCCUCAAACCAAAGUAUUACAUAUCACUAUAUCACUCCACACUCCACUAAAUGGGUUUAAUUUCAGGCAUGUUGAGUUGCUUCAAAUUCAAUCCCUCGUCAUCUGGUCGAGUAAAUGAUAAACAAAAUGUGAAAGAGCUGGAGACUUCUUCAUCUUUAAACCCCAAGUUGAAAAGCAAGUCAAGUGCAAGUAAAGCUCCCAUUCCUGUUUCAUAUUAUCCUAUUAAUUCUCGUCUCUCUUAUUUGUAGUCAACUAGACCUAUUGUGUACGAGCACAAAUAAUAAAAGAUUUUUAUUGUUGUUCAGAUUGAUUGAUUUUUGAGUUACUCAUCAGUGAUCAAAGUACCUUUUAGAUUUAAAUCAACUUGUAUAAUCUUUUUGUUUUGUGUUUCUAACAAAGAAUAAAUAUCUAACACAACUUGGGUAAAUACGAGUUUGAAGCAAGAAAAUGUGAAAGAGGAGGAGCCUUUUUUAUCAUCAAACCAUAAGCUGAAAAGCAAAUCAAGUUCAAGCAAAGCCCCGAUUCCAGUUUCGUAUUCUCCUGUUAAUUCUCCUAUAUCGUAUUCUC